RNAcentral lists this ribosomal RNA (380 nucleotides) under Russula sororia. RNAcentral describes it as "eukaryotic LSU rRNA". The stretch from base 1 to 108 matches the Rfam family "5.8S ribosomal RNA", at positions 50 to 154 of the family's 154-position model. Lineage: Eukaryota; Fungi; Basidiomycota; Agaricomycetes; Russulales; Russulaceae. The record is from RNAcentral.
GAAAUGCGAUACGUAAUAUGAUGAAUUGCAGAAUUCAGUGAAUCAUCGAAUCUUUGAACGCAUCUUGCGCCCUUUGGCAUUCCGAAGGGCACACCCGUUUGAGUGUCGUGACAUUCUCAAACCUUCUUGGUUUCUUGACCGAGAAGGCUUUGGACUUUGGAGGCUUUUGCUGGACCUUCUCUUGUUGAAGCCAGCUCCUCUUAAAUGAAUUAGUGGGGUCUGCUUUGCUGAUCCUUGACGUGAUAAGAUAAUUCUACUACGUCUUGGGUUUGGCACGGUUUGCUCUAGAUCCUGCUUCUAACCGUCUUGUAGAAGACAAAAGGUCGACUUGACCGACAAACCUUGACCUCAAAUCGGGUGAGACUACCCGCUGAACUUAA